UACGUAGGUGGCAAGCGUUGUCCGGAUUUAUUGGGUUUAAAGGGUGCGUAUGCGGGCAGGUAAGUCCGUGGUGAAAUCUCUGAGCUUAACUCAGAAACUGCCAUGGAUACUAUUUGUCUUGAAUAUUGUGGAGGUAAGCGGAAUAUGUCAUGUAGCGGUGAAAUGCUUAGAUAUGACAUAGAACACCAAUUGCGAAGGCAGCUUACUACACAGUUAUUGACGCUGAGGCACGAAAGCGUGGGGAUCAAACAGG
This 253-nucleotide ribosomal RNA is filed under the name uncultured bacterium. Its description in RNAcentral is "partial 16S ribosomal RNA". It matches the Rfam family "Bacterial small subunit ribosomal RNA", at positions 524 to 776 of the family's 1533-position model. The record is from RNAcentral.